Long non-coding RNA from Dromaius novaehollandiae (emu), 5369 nucleotides. RefSeq lists it as uncharacterized. Lineage: Eukaryota; Metazoa; Chordata; Aves; Casuariiformes; Dromaiidae. The transcript is spliced from 3 exons. The record is from RefSeq and is a predicted model, not a curated record.
UCAGAGUUUUCAUCGUAGGUGAGAAAUCUGGCCCAGAGUUGACCACCCAGAGACCACAAGGCCCAAUGAGAAGGGACCACCCAAAUACUGAUUUUCCACUACAUUCAAAUCAGAGGUUCCAGAUGUGCUUGGUAUGUAGUCUUCCUGAUGUUGUCAGCUACCGAGAUCAAUAGCCAAGGACAAUUUCUUCUCCCCAGAAGAACAACUUUCUGGAGCAGGACUCUCAUGCUGAACUCUCCUUGGCACUUCGUGGUGAGACAGUAAAAAGAGGGGAGAGAAGAAAGCACGCUGUGGCAAUGCCAUGAAAGCAGUGAAAGGGAGAUAAAUUCAAAUAAUUCAGAAACUAUACUCCCUCAAAUUUCACUAGAUUCUUCCCCUUUGUUUGAUAGAGUUAAGUUUUCUUCCAAAAAAAAUGAAAACCCCUCCUCUAGUGCAGUAUCAGGCUGAUUCACUACUGCUGGCCUAAGUUGUUUGAGACCCGAGAACGGCCUCGCUGAGGAGAGUGCUAUGAACACACUACACCAUCAGUGGUAGCCAUUGACUUCUUUUUCUUGCGAAGGGGCUGUGUUGUUUUCCCCCCGCGGCGGCGUGUGACUUGACCCAGCUACUGAGAAACCCUUUGGAGAGGCAGACUUCCGCCCGGCCCAUUAAUUUUUGUCUCGUAACAUGGCAUGGUUGACCUUUCGGGUGUUGUUUGUAGCGGAGGUAGCUCCUCUACGGACCAUUUGGCAUUUCAAGCCUGCAGGAAUUUGGAGAGGUGCCUAACAACCACAGCAGGCGCACGAGCUGUUUUGCAAGCCUCCAGCCACCUCUGCAGCUAGCGUAAGCUUAAUAGGGCCGCUCUCCUCUUCUUUCUGUGUAGUUGGCAGGGAUGCACAGGGAUGUCUGUUUUAGAGGGGACUUAGCAAUGCUUUGCCUAAUUUUGCUGCCUCUGUAAUUUUUCUGUAAAGAAAGAGCCCUUUCCUUGUGCAUUUAUACAAUACUGCAUUUCUUUACCUUAGUCUCCUCAGAGCAAAGACGUGCCUUUCACAAUCAUAGCCCUAGACCGCUUCUUCCAGAAACUGCUGCAUUUUGUGCUCUAUAUGAAGCUGUGACAAAACCAAUUUAUAGGUCAAAGAUGACAGGAAAUAGAAUAAAAUACAGAGCUCUGAGACUUGGCAGGAGGCAAGAAAGGUUAAAUGCUGGUGCCCUAUAGCAGCUGUAGUGUAAGUUGACAACUGUUUCUGAAUAAACAACUGCUGGUUCAGUCCCGAGACACGGUCGCGGUGUCUCAUGUGGAGACUUCCACCGCGGUGCUCUGGGUGCUCCCGUUCCCGGCCCACAGUGCUAGGGCUGCUGGUGUGACACUUGCUCCUUUGUACACCUUUCUAUUUUCUUUCAAAUGGCUUCUAAAUAUAGAGAAAUGAUGUCUGCUGGGAAGAAAGAAAGAAAGAGCAAGGUAGUAAUAUAUUUUGCAGUUCUCUGAUUGGGAGAACAUGCCUCUGGUCAUAUAUUUGUGCAUCAGAGAGACAGAAAAAAAUCUCUGCCCUGCUGACUGUUUAAAAAGCAAAAAUGAACGAGUGUGCAUUAUGUGUAUAUAACCAGGGUGACUUGGGACUCAGCCCACAAACGAACCUGAGACAAACUACAAGCCAAUGAUGGCAAAACUUUACGAGUUCAGCAGUUUGUGUCAGUCCAGAUAUGUGCCUAAAGGUAUGACAAUGAGCAGAUCUUUUCUGAACCUGCGUGUUUAGGCUACAAAUCUUUCAGGAUGGGCUGUUUUCUUUCACUGUGUGUGAGAUACUUGCUGGUAAGUGCCUCAAUAAAUAGUAGUGCAGCAGGAGACGACAUGCAUCAAAACCUGAGCUAUACUGAGCCUUCUGAAUCUGUGGCACCAUGGUAAUUCUUCACACAACUAGAGAGGGGGAAAAGUGGAAAUUUGAAUUUGAAAUAAUUUAAGAAAAAAGAAUAUGUGCAUAGGAACUAUAAAGCUCAUUUGCUGUGUGCUAUUCUAAGCUUAAAAAGAAAGUGCUUAUAUAUAUAUAUAUAUAUAUAUAUAUAUAUAUAAAACGUAUUAUAAUAAUGUAACAGGCUGUUCUCUAGCAGUUUCUUGGCAUAUCAUUGGUGCUACAAGAAGGCUCUUUUUAUGUUUGGCUGGCUUUUUAAACAGGCUAGUCACAAGACUUUAAAUCAGACUCAGAGCGCAGUUGCAAGAAUAUACCUUUUUGCUUCUCAGCAUACUCAAUAGAAAUAAAAUUUUUUCACUUCAUGUCAGAAUGACUCUACUUCUGAGGAUAUAAAGCCAUGUAUAGGUUCUACAGUGUCUUAGAGUUAAAACACUGUCUUAAAGUAUAAAUUAAAGCAACACAGAAAAGUAUGUUUUUAUCUAUAGCAACCUCUACAGCUUACUAUGAAAGAGAGAAACACCAGAUCAUACCAAAGGACAUAUAAUAGCCCUCUCCCUCGUUCCGAUGCCUUAUUCUCUUCUGUGCUGAUCUGUUAAAAUAUAUGUGCUCCUUGCAAUACUGUAUAUUUCUACAAGCUCUUAAGCUAUACAUCUUAUAUUGUCAGAUGUUAGGUUGUUCUGUCACUGCCCAUCCAGGGUCAUAAUGUAUGGGGAGCCAAGGUUAUGUAUAGCAGUCUUCUUCUUAGCUUGCAUCACAUGAGGAAUAACUUGUGCUUGAAGGACUAUUUUGACACAGUCCUGGUCCACUAUGCUGUCAGUUUAGGGUACCUGGGCUUAGAGAUAAAACAUACCACUUUGUCUAGAUCUAACCUAAAAAAAAAUUCACAUUUCAGUCAAGGUGUUAGACAUGAAAGUGUAUGAAGCAUUGAAGCAUAUCUGAAACUAUGUUCAUUAGAAAUUAUCUGAGCGAGGUGCUUGCUAGGUUACCAAAAAAAAAAAAAAAACAACCCUUGAACACAAUACAUAAUCUUGAUGCAGCCGGCAACUGCCGAUGCUAAAGUGUAUUGCUAGUAUGCCUUAAACAAUUAAACUUGUCACACCUUUGGCUAUGAAGAUUUAAAAAUGUUCUUCACUUUGCAUAUAUAUGUAUAUAAAAACUGUGCUCUUUUUAUGAGGGUCCCCUGCUCACACACACAUUUUUCACUAAUUUUUAGCCUGAUAAAAUUAGCCUUAAUUCUGAGUCAGAGCUGCUGUUUUUUUCCUGUUUUAUCUUGCUUGUACCAGGGUCUGUUGUUUGGAUUAAUUUCCCACCUAUUACUUCGCAAUUCAAUUGCUUCUGAAUUAUACCAUCAGCAACACCUGUGCAUAAAUUUAUAGUGUUUUAACUCCAAAAGAGACCAUCAGAGUAGCUGUAACGUGUGGGUAACUAGACUUUUUUGAUUCAAAUUCAGGCAGCUAUAGGGAUACGGCACGUCAGCGAAAGCUUUCCUCCCCAAGGAAAGAGGCCUUCCAGCGGCAGAAAGGGGCUGCGCAGCCAGGAGCCCGGCUUCACCAGUGCCCCCAGAAUUGCCCUUCCACAGGGUUUAGACACACUUGCUGCAGGUAUCAAUUAUAAUUAUUUUAGCUAAAUAGCCUAUCUGGAGAGUGCAAUUGUUUGUGUGAAAGUCCUUUUACCCUGUAACCAACUUGUCUGUCAAUUUUUUUGAAAUGCUGAACAGUUCAAGCUCUUUAAAUAGAUAUAAGGCUUUUUCUUCAUCCUUUGAUUCAUUUUUUUAUGACUCUAUGCAUUAUUUCUGUUUUUUCAGUAUAUCUUUUCUAAAAAUGUGGGCAUCAAAAAAAAUUCCUAACAUCUUGACAUCUUAAUAUCAUACACAGAGGUAAAAAAUCAUUCUCUUCCUUCCAUUUCCUCUACCUAUUAAUACAGCAAAAGACUGCACUGGCUUUUUUUUUUUUUUUUUUUUUUUUUUUUUUUUUUGAGCUAUAACAUUGCAAAGGAAUCGUUUAUGUUGCGGGGACUUCCCCCAGCCACUCUGAAUUUCUUUUUAUUUUACAUGGGGCUUUACAUUUAUUCAUAAUAAAACACUUUUUGUUUGAAUUAGUCUGGCUUACUAAACGAAUCACAGUGCCCUGCCUUCUCCUGUCAGAAGAAACAUUCUUAGACAACUGCAAAUGUUUGUGCCAGAUCAUCCCAUCUUGUAACCUCCUAAAUACUGGCAUGCCACAAGCACUUUUCUAUGACCAGAGCCAUUACUUCCAAAAGCUCCUAUUGACUGGAAUAUAUUAAACAAACUUUCAAAUGAGGCUUAGUUUUCUUUGCCUGAUAGCACAGAAAUAAAAAUUACAAAAAGCCUGGGUGUUUCUCAGCAUUUUUAAUACUAUCAUACCUCAUUAGGUUAUAAGUCAAAUGCAAUAUGCCUCAAAGGAGUAAUGCGAACACUACUUUUUUCUGUGGGAAACUGACACUAUCCAGAACAUGACAGAAAGUGUAAUUGCUAGGUGAAAGUUUACCAGGUAGCGCCUGAUUUAAGUGCGGUUUUACACUUAACGAACCAGCUAGUAUUUAAGAUUUUAUCCAUGAUGUUUGGUAUGCUAUCAAAGGUAGUGGCAAAUGCAUUCACCUCCCUGAAAGCAUUCUAUUUCACUUGUGAAAGAAUGUAUUUGUCUCGAAAGCUUACGUUGUCUGAACAUCAAAAAAAAAGAAAUCAAUACCCAUUUUAGUACAGUUGCUCUCUUUUUCCUUCUAUAGACUUCAUGAGCUUCAUCGCUGAAGAACACUGCUUGUGGACAAAUUUCAAAUCCUUACGCUACCUGACUUGUGUCUUUUUUUCGGUUUUUCACACUUAAGUGUUAUGUUAAAGUCACAUAAUAAACCAUCUUUUUUUUUUCUUGUUUAAAUGAGAUGGUUUUCUUUAGUUCUAGUUCUCUUGCAUUUUUGAGUGAUUGUUUCACUGACUCUUUUCUCUCAAGUUCAUUGGCCUUUCUGGGGAAUAGGAGAGGAGGGGGGAGGUCCACAUGCUUCUUCCCUUGACCUCUGAAGCUCUCUGCUACAGAAUUUAGUAUAAAGGCACCAGCAGCUGUCAUCUUCCUCCAGAAAAGCAUUAUAUGGAAGUGAUGAAAUAUUUUGUUAUUUAUUUAUUCUUUUUAGAAAGGCAGCUUCCUAGAAGACACUCAUUCUACUUCCAAGGGGGUAACAUACGUAAUUCUUCAUGAUCUUUUUCUGAUGGAGUCAGAUGGUCUCUUUGAUAGAUUAUUUGAAGAAAAUCUGUGUAUAGCCAGUUUACAAUCCCCUGCAGCUUUGUGAUGAAAAAGCUGAAAGGGCUCUGUCUCAGGAGACCAUGGCCAGUUAUUCAUUUUCCGUUGUGCCUUUCACUAUUUUGAAGCCUUAAUCAAUAAUAUAAAACUGUAUAUUUGCUUUCUGGUUUUCUGUGGCUCUGUUACACUGUGAUUAAGCUAAUGAUUUUAAAUAAAUUGAAGACUACUUGAC